RNAcentral lists this transfer RNA (72 nucleotides) under Minisyncoccota bacterium. RNAcentral's name for it is "tRNA-Arg". It matches the Rfam family "tRNA". From Rfam's summary of the family: Transfer RNA (tRNA) molecules are approximately 80 nucleotides in length. Their secondary structure includes four short double-helical elements and three loops (D, anti-codon, and T loops). Further hydrogen bonds mediate the characteristic L-shaped molecular structure. tRNAs have two regions of fundamental functional importance: the anti-codon, which is responsible for specific mRNA codon recognition, and the 3' end, to which the tRNAs corresponding amino acid is attached (by aminoacyl-tRNA synthetases). tRNAs cope with the degeneracy of the genetic code in two manners: having more than one tRNA (with a specific anti-codon) for a particular amino acid; and 'wobble' base-pairing, i.e. permitting non-standard base-pairing at the 3rd anti-codon position. The record is from RNAcentral. Lineage: Bacteria; Bacillati; Minisyncoccota.
GCUCUCGUAGUUCAACGGAUAGAAUGCAGGUUUGCGGUACCUGUGAUCGAGGUUCGAUUCCCCGCGAGAGCA